RNAcentral lists this non-coding RNA (20 nucleotides) under Chlamydomonas reinhardtii. RNAcentral also lists the same sequence under 1 other name. Lineage: Eukaryota; Viridiplantae; Chlorophyta; Chlorophyceae; Chlamydomonadales; Chlamydomonadaceae. The record is from RNAcentral.
GGGUUUAGACCGUCGUGAGA